CCUACGGGAGGCUGCAGUGGGGAAUAUUGCACAAUGGGGGAAACCCUGAUGCAGCGACGCCGCGUGAGUGAAGAAGUAUUUCGGUACGUAAAGCUCUAUCAGCAGGGAAGUAAAAAAGUCCUUUGGACUUUGGACGGUACCUGACCAAGACGCCCCGGCUAACUACGUGCCAGCAGCCGCGGUAAUACGUAGGGGGCAAGCGUUAUCCGGAUUUACUGGGUGUAAAGGGAGCGUAGACGGCAGCGCAAGUCUGGAGUGAAAUGCCGGUGCCCAACCCCGGAACUGCUUUGGAAACUGGGCAGCUGGAGUGCAGGAGAGGUAAGCGGAAUUCCUAGUGUAGCGGUGAAAUGCGUAGAUAUUAGGAGGAACACCAGUGGCGAAGGCGGCUUACUGGACUGUAACUGACGUUGAGGCUCGAAAGCGUGGGGAGCAAACAGGAUUAGAUACCCCAGUAGUC
Molecule: ribosomal RNA, 457 nt
Filed under: uncultured bacterium
Lineage: Bacteria
Description: partial 16S ribosomal RNA
Rfam family: Bacterial small subunit ribosomal RNA
Source: RNAcentral